RNAcentral lists this ribosomal RNA (404 nucleotides) under Fusobacteriota bacterium. RNAcentral describes it as "Fusobacteria bacterium partial 16S ribosomal RNA". It matches the Rfam family "Bacterial small subunit ribosomal RNA", at positions 355 to 776 of the family's 1533-position model. The record is from RNAcentral. Lineage: Bacteria; Fusobacteriati; Fusobacteriota.
UGGGGAAUAUUGCACAAUGGAGGGAACUCUGAUGCAGCGACGCCGCGUGAGUGAUGAAGGACUUCGUUUCGUAAAACUCUGUUCUAUGGGAAGAAAAGGACUGUACCAUAGGAGAAAGCUCCGGCUAAAUACGUGCCAGCAGCCGCGGUAAUACGUAUGGAGCGAGCGUUGUCCGGAAUUAUUGGGCGUAAAGGGUGCGCAGGCGGCUUUACAAGUUGGAUGUGAAAUAUUGUGGCUCAACCACAAACGUGCAUCCAAAACUGCAAAGCUUGAGUUAAGGAGAGGUAAGUGGAAUUCCUGGUGUAGCGGUGGAAUGCGUAGAUAUCAGGAGGAAGACCGGUGGCGAAGGCGACUUACUGGACUUAAACUGACGCUCAGGCACGAAAGCGUGGGGAGCAAACAGG